UCCAGGGUAGCGGAGUGGACAAGGCACCUGCCCGGUAAGCAGAAGGGUGUGGGUUCGAUUCCCGCCCCUGGAC
This 73-nucleotide transfer RNA is filed under the name Cordylochernes scorpioides. RNAcentral's name for it is "tRNA-Thr". It matches the Rfam family "tRNA". From Rfam's summary of the family: Transfer RNA (tRNA) molecules are approximately 80 nucleotides in length. The record is from RNAcentral. Lineage: Eukaryota; Metazoa; Arthropoda; Arachnida; Pseudoscorpiones; Chernetidae.